Molecule: unclassified non-coding RNA, 304 nt
Filed under: Hevea brasiliensis (rubber tree)
Lineage: Eukaryota; Viridiplantae; Streptophyta; Magnoliopsida; Malpighiales; Euphorbiaceae
Source: RNAcentral
CGAGACCUCGGAGAAGUCAAGCUGCGACGCAAUCUCAUUGAGCUGCUUCUUCACACUCAUAUCAAUCAGCUUCGACCCCGAGCUCCCAUACCGAAUCGUAAAACCUGCAAUGAGAAACGGAUCGAUCUCCGUCUUAAUCCUCACAUUCUUCGCCCCGGUGAACCUCUGCACAGUCUUGGCGAUCUGCGCCAGGUGCUGCUCCCCCAGCGGCACCACCGACGUCACCACUGCAACCUCUGUACCAGUGAUCUUAUUGAAGGCAAUCUCGAACUCCUUGACGAUGUCUUUGAUAAGCUCGGUCCGG